CGUUACAGGUUCUCGGUGUGCUUCUGCCAAAACCCAAAUUUUCUAUGGUUGACCUCGGAUCAGGUAGGGAUACCCGCUGAACUUAAGCAUAUCAAUAAGCGGAGGAAAAGAAACCAACAGGGAUUGCCCCAGUAACGGCGA
This 141-nucleotide ribosomal RNA is filed under the name Monilinia laxa. Its description in RNAcentral is "partial 28S ribosomal RNA". The stretch from base 50 to 141 matches the Rfam family "Eukaryotic large subunit ribosomal RNA", at positions 1 to 92 of the family's 3401-position model. Lineage: Eukaryota; Fungi; Ascomycota; Leotiomycetes; Helotiales; Sclerotiniaceae. The record is from RNAcentral.